UACAGAGGUCCCAAGCGUUGUUCGGAUUCAUUGGGCGUAAAGGGGUGCGUAGGUGGCGCCGUAAGUCAGGUGUGAAAUUUCGGAGCUUAACUCCGAAACUGCAUUUGAUACUGCGGUGCUUGAGGACUGGAGAGGAGACUGGAAUUUACGGUGUAGCAGUGAAAUGCGUAGAGAUCGUAAGGAAGACCAGUGGCGAAGGCGGAAUCUCUG
Molecule: ribosomal RNA, 210 nt
Filed under: uncultured bacterium
Lineage: Bacteria
Description: partial 16S ribosomal RNA
Rfam family: Bacterial small subunit ribosomal RNA
Source: RNAcentral